Non-coding RNA from Nannospalax galili (Upper Galilee mountains blind mole rat), 400 nucleotides. Lineage: Eukaryota; Metazoa; Chordata; Mammalia; Rodentia; Spalacidae. The record is from the annotation of a RefSeq genome assembly.
UCAGUCCUAUUCAGGACAGAGCAUGGACAGGAAGGGUCUUGCUCAGUUUCUGGGGCUUCUGCUGUUCUGGCUCUCAGGUGCCAGAUGUGACAUUCAGAUGACUCAGUCUCCACCCUCCCUGUCUGCAUCUCUAGGGGACACAGUCACCAUCAAGUGUGUGGCAAGUCAGGGAAUUAGUAAUGAUUUAAACUGGUACCAGCAGAAACCAGGGAAUUCUCCUAAGCUCUUGAUCUAUUAUGCAACCAAUUUGUACCCUGGUGUCUCAUCAAGGUUCAGUGGCCAGUACUCUGGGACAGAUUUCACUCUCACUAUCAGCAAACUGGAGCUUGAAGAUACUGGACUUUAUUAUUGCCUACAGCAUUACAGUAACCCUCCCACAGUGAUAGAGAUCAUAAUAUAA